CUCAGUUCAUUUAAUUCUAGGCUAAAGUUGCAGUCAGCGACUUUUCAACACAACAUUUGUCUACAUUCCUUCAAUUAAAGGUUGUUUACAUUCAUGAUCACUGACUUUUUAUGAAAUUGGAUGGUCAGUUGUAUAGAGCUACAGGUGCUUUAACUAAACAAAAACUCCCUCUCCCGUAGAUUUCCGCAGCACUUAUUAAUCUCACUUGGAUAAACAAAACAACCGAAAAUCAAACAUAAAAGUAAUCGGCAGAAUUAAGAAAAUAAAAAAUAAAAACAAAGCAAACCCUAGAAACUGAAUCAGCAGGAAGCUUACAAAAACAAACUUGAAUCCUUUUUGAAUUAGCAAUAUCAGAAAGAAAAACUUAAAAAGAAAACCCUAAAACUUGAAUCAAGUUGAAUUCGAAGAGAAAGAUAUACCUUUGAAUCGCGAGCAAGAAAAAAAUGGAGAGGCGGUUUGAAGGAGAUAUAAGAUGAAAGUGAAUUUGGUGAUUGCAAGGGGAGUUGAAAUUGGAUUAUUGGAAGGAGUUUCGAGGUGGAAAUCGAAAUCCCGAGGUUCGUACAAAGCCAUGGAGGUGGAAGCGCCCAGUGUUUUGAUCGGAAAUGGAAUUUGCCAUUGUUAAAAGACUAUUGUGCCCAUGUUUUAUAGAGUAAAAAAAUAAAAUAGGGGUAGUAGAGCAAGGGUGUUUAUGGAAGAAGAAAAAAGUGCUGAGCCGGCUUCAAACAACAGCUCAUGGUUUGGCGAGUGAGGAAUAUCAAAUAUGGUUUUGUUUGAAGUGGAUAAACCAGAUAACUACUAACGAGAUAUUCAGUUUUAAGACCCAAGCACUCUUUUUAUACUAUUAUGUAUAUAUAUAUAUAUAUAUAUAUAUAUUAUAUAU
Molecule: long non-coding RNA, 880 nt
Filed under: Carica papaya (papaya)
Lineage: Eukaryota; Viridiplantae; Streptophyta; Magnoliopsida; Brassicales; Caricaceae
Description: long non-coding RNA (CPAP_LNC010451)
Source: RNAcentral